Molecule: long non-coding RNA, 242 nt
Organism: Brienomyrus brachyistius
Lineage: Eukaryota; Metazoa; Chordata; Actinopteri; Osteoglossiformes; Mormyridae
Exons: 3
Source: RefSeq, a predicted model, not a curated record
CUGAUAUGUUAUCUGUCACGAUCACGCCGGAGAUAAGCGGCGAUCGUGCGGUUUUUAUUCUUCUAGUGUCUAGAAGAAUAAAGACGGAAUAAACUUCAACAUCUGUCAGGCGUAUGUUUUCUGUACCAGAUGAAGAACUUUGGGAGCUGUUAUAUCUUCUAUAGUAAAGCCAGUACAGCUGUUUUUAUUGUAGUCGAAAACAACAGUGAGUGCCAGUCACUGGCAAAUCCCUUGGUUCCCGG